RNAcentral lists this long non-coding RNA (711 nucleotides) under Elaeis guineensis (African oil palm). RNAcentral describes it as "long non-coding RNA (EGUI_LNC034811)". Lineage: Eukaryota; Viridiplantae; Streptophyta; Magnoliopsida; Arecales; Arecaceae. The record is from RNAcentral.
UCCACAGGCAUGCAAAAUAUUCUAAACAUAAUAUUAAUACAUUACAGUAGAACUAAUAAUAAAUUAAAUCCAAAAUUUAACUAACUAAACUUAACUUUAAUCUCUUAUAAAAAUUUAAUAAUAUUCAAAAGAUUUUACAUUAGUUAUGUCUCAAAUAAUAAUUCUAUAAAAUAUAAUAAUAAAUUUAUAUCUAAACUUGAUUGAUACUAUCAACUCUUGCCUCUAAAUUUAUUUUCAAAGCAGUACCUAUAUCUGUAAUUAAGAAUUUGAAUCUAAAAAGGAAGGAGAGAUAGUGAGUUCGAUAGUUUGGUAAGUUUAAAUGUUAUCAUAAGAUAUGAUGUUUGAAAAUAAAUACCAUAAAUUAAUAUUAAAAUAUAUUUUAUGCUAAUUUAAGCAAAUCAAAUAUUUUAAAUAUUUAUAUAUAUACACAAUCAUAAAUUUGAUUUGAAUUAAAUAAUAUAUAAUUUAACAGUGUUGAUUAUGAUCAUAUUUAUAUCCUGUGGUGGAACCAGAAUAGAACAUAGUGAGCUCAAUUAGAGUGCCAAUACAUAACCCUCAUUGGUAGGGUCUAAAGAAUCAUUGCAUAACUCUUUUAGUAGGGUUCAAAGAACCAAUGCACAACCCCAUUGGCAUGGGCUAAAACAUAGUUAGACUGAAAGCUCAAAUUUGAUGAAUACAAAAAUAUCUUUCUACAAGAUAACACACACACAU